This 565-nucleotide ribosomal RNA is filed under the name uncultured Serratia sp. RNAcentral describes it as "bacterial SSU rRNA". It matches the Rfam family "Bacterial small subunit ribosomal RNA", at positions 1 to 582 of the family's 1533-position model. The record is from RNAcentral. Lineage: Bacteria; Pseudomonadati; Pseudomonadota; Gammaproteobacteria; Enterobacterales; Yersiniaceae.
CGCCCUUAGAGUUUGAUCAUGGCUCAGAUUGAACGCUGGCGGCAGGCUUAACACAUGCAAGUCGAGCGGUAGGAGAGCUUGCUCUCUACGAGCGGCGGACGGGUGAGUAAUGUCUGGGAAACUGCCUGAUGGAGGGGGAUAACUACUGGAAACGGUAGCUAAUACCGCAUAAUGUCGCAAGACCAAAGAGGUUCGUCUUGCCAUCAGAUGUGCCCAGAUGGGAUUAGCUAGUAGGUGGGGUAAUGGCUCACCUAGGCGACGAUCCCUAGCUGGUCUGAGAGGAUGACCAGCCACACUGGAACUGAGACACGGUCCAGACUCCUACGGGAGGCAGCAGUGGGGAAUAUUGCACAAUGGGCGCAAGCCUGAUGCAGCCAUGCCGCGUGUAUGAAGAAGGCCUUAGGGUUGUAAAGUACUUUCAGCGAGGAGGAAGGCGUUGUAUAAUUGCAACGAUUGACGUUACUCGCAGAAGAAGCACCGGCUAACUCCGUGCCAGCAGCCGCGGUAAUACGGAGGGUGCAGCGUUAAUCGGAAUUACUGGGCGUAAGCGCACGCAGGCGGUUUG